UUAUUGCGCUAACGCAAUUUAUAGUUUGUUUUAUAUUCGUUUUACGUUACAUAAGUGGGAUGUAGUUUUAAAAAGUAAUUGUAUCGUGACGCUAAAAUGAUUUUUAUUCUACGAUGCACUAAGACGAUUGUUUAUUUUCUGAUUUUUACCUUACCUGCUACAUAUUGUAUAAAUUAUCAAGACGGAUAUAAAAUGAGAGCGGAUAAUUUGAAAGAGUAUGGAGAAAGAUUAUCAAGUCUUGAAGACG
Nymphalis io (European peacock) is the source of this 247-nucleotide long non-coding RNA. RefSeq lists it as uncharacterized. The transcript has 5 exons. The record is from RefSeq and is a predicted model, not a curated record. Lineage: Eukaryota; Metazoa; Arthropoda; Insecta; Lepidoptera; Nymphalidae.